This 497-nucleotide ribosomal RNA is filed under the name uncultured bacterium. RNAcentral's name for it is "partial 16S ribosomal RNA". It matches the Rfam family "Bacterial small subunit ribosomal RNA", at positions 28 to 507 of the family's 1533-position model. The record is from RNAcentral.
GACGAACGCUGGCGGCGUGCCUAAUACAUGCAAGUUGAGCGCUGAAGGUUGGUACUUGUACCAACUGGAUGAGCAGCGAACGGGUGAGUAACGCGUGGGGAAUCUGCCUUUGAGCGGGGGACAACAUUUGGAAACGAAUGCUAAUACCGCAUAAAAACUUUAAACACAAGUUUUAAGUUUGAAAGAUGCAAUUGCAUCACUCAAAGAUGAUCCCGCGUUGUAUUAGCUAGUUGGUGAGGUAAAGGCUCACCAAGGCGAUGAUACAUAGCCGACCUGAGAGGGUGAUCGGCCACAUUGGGACUGAGACACGGCCCAAACGCCUACGGGAGGCAGCAGUAGGGAAUCUUCGGCAAUGGACGAAAGUCUGACCGAGCAACGCCGCGGGAGUGAAGAAGGUUUUCGGAUCGGAAAACUCUGUUGGUAGGGAAGAACGUUGGUGAGAGUGGAAAGCUCAUCAAGUGACGGUAACUACCCAGAAAGGGACGGCUAACUACGUG